CUUGAGAGUGCAGCUCUGUGUGGGUGGUAAACUCCAUCUAAGGCUAAAUACGACCACAAGACCGAUAGCGAACAAAUACCGUAAGGAAAAGUUAAAAAGAACUGUGAAAAGAGAGUGGUUUCACUUCGGUGGGCGAUGCUCCGCGGACGUCUUUCGCCGGAUUGUAUCUCGCGGACACGCUACCGCGCGGCGAUGUUCGGUGCUCGUUGUCGUGCAUUUCUCCUCUAGUAGGACGUCACGAUCCGUCGGUCUACGGCCCGGGUGCGGUGACCGUCGCGUCUUUGGUAAAACGGCACGCGGCAAAUCUCUGGUCGCUUUCCCGACGGUAUCAGGCCGCAAACGGAGAGACGAGGGUGUACCACACUUUCCGCCUCCUCACACGCGUCGUGUGCGUCGGGAUCGUCGCAAGCGCGCGCUGAGGCACUCUGAGGUUCAACGGGACCUAUACGUCGUCCUUGGCCUGCUGUUGGUACGUACGGUUCAUUUCUCCGACAGGCCUGCAAACCCGAGAAACAUACUCUCUUAGGCAUACCGCUCGGCGACGCUACUGCUUUGGGUACUCUUAG
RNAcentral lists this ribosomal RNA (566 nucleotides) under Hypoponera sp. AAP2312. Its description in RNAcentral is "partial 28S ribosomal RNA". It matches the Rfam family "Eukaryotic large subunit ribosomal RNA", at positions 273 to 620 of the family's 3401-position model. The record is from RNAcentral. Lineage: Eukaryota; Metazoa; Arthropoda; Insecta; Hymenoptera; Formicidae.